RNAcentral lists this ribosomal RNA (499 nucleotides) under uncultured bacterium. RNAcentral describes it as "partial 16S ribosomal RNA". It matches the Rfam family "Bacterial small subunit ribosomal RNA", at positions 28 to 507 of the family's 1533-position model. The record is from RNAcentral.
GACGAACGCUGGCGGCGUGCUUAACACAUGCAAGUCGAACGGGCCCGCUCUCUUUUUUGGGGGUGGGUUGAGUGGCGAACGGGUGAGUAUCACGUGAGUAACCUGCCCCCUGCUCCUGGAUAACUGCUUGAAAGGGCGGCUAAUACGGGGUGUGCCGGCUGGUCCGCAUGGGCCUGGUCGGGAUAGUUUCAUCUUCGGGUGUUUCGGUGGGGGAUGGGCUCGCGGCCUAUCAGCUUGUUGGUGGGGUGAUGGCCCACCAAGGCGGUGACGGGUAGCCGGCCUGAGAGGGUGGGCGGCCACACUGGGACUGAGACACGGCCCAGACUCCUGCGGGAGGCAGCAGUGGGGGGUAUUGCACAAUGGGCGGAAGCCUGAUGCAGCGACGGCGCGUGAGGGAUGGAGGCCUUCGGGUGGUGAACCUCUUUCUCCGGUGGUGAAGGCCCUGUCCGUUGCGGCGGGGUUGACGGUAGCCGGGUAUGAAGCGCCGGCUAACUACGUG